Molecule: non-coding RNA, 2098 nt
Organism: Marmota flaviventris (yellow-bellied marmot)
Lineage: Eukaryota; Metazoa; Chordata; Mammalia; Rodentia; Sciuridae
Source: RefSeq, a predicted model, not a curated record
GCUCGGCCUGCGCGGCGCGCCGGAAGUGACGUCGCCGGAAGCGCCGGGCCCGAGCCAUGGCCCCGGAGGCCGCGGGGCGGCCGCCGGAGGAGACGCUGUCGCUGUGGAAACGGGAGCAGGACCGGCUGAAGGCUCUCCUGGUGGACCGCGACACGGAGGCGUGGCAGCGGGACCCCGCCUUCUCGGGUCUGCAGAGGGUCGGCGGCGUGGACGUGUCCUUCGUGAAAGGGGACAGUGUCAGCGCCUGUGCCUCCCUGGUGGUGCUCAGCUUCCCCGAGCUCGAGGUGGUGUAUGAAGAGAGCCGAAUGGUCAGCCUGACGGCCCCCUACGUGGCAGGCUUCCUGGCCUUCCGAGAGGUGCCCUUCCUGGUGGAUUUGGUGCAGCAACUACAGGAGAAGGAGCCGGGCCUCAUGCCUCAGGUCCUUCUUGUGGAUGGAAAUGGGGUGCUGCACCACCGAGGCUUCGGGGUGGCCUGCCACCUUGGCGUCCUCACAGAGCUGCCCUGCAUUGGGGUGGCCAAGAAACUCCUGCAGGUGGAUGGGCUGGAGAACAAUGCCCUGCACAAGGAGAAGAUCCGGCUCCUGCAGGCUGGAGGAGAUACAUUUCCUCUGAUGGGAGGCUCUGGAACUGUCCUGGGAAUGGCCCUGAAGAGCCACAGCCACAGCAUCAAGCCUCUCUACAUCUCCGUGGGCCACAAGAUAAGCCUGGAGGCAGCCGUGCGCCUGACCCAAUGCUGCUGCAGGUUCCGGAUCCCAGAGCCUGUGCGCCAGGCUGACAUCCGCUCUCGAGAACACAUUCGCAGGACUCUGGGACACCUCCGGCCAUCUGAACCAGGGCAAGCGAGGAGUCAGAAGGCACAUUGUCCAAAGGCAUGCCCCAAAGGGGGCCCAGGAGAGCCUACAGACCCCUCAGGACCACAGCAGAGGCCCCGGGACAGACUUGGAGGCUCCCAGGAGCAGCAGAGCCCGUUCUGGAGUGGAGGAGACGAGGUGCCAUGAGCACUCGGGCUGCUGGCUUCCCACUCCCGCCUCAGGACAGUAGCUGUGGGGACCUCACCUAACCACAGGGUUCGUUUUUAACUGGUGCCCCUCCAGCCAUAGUGGGCCACAGAGGGGAUCCACACUGGUGUGGCCAUGCUUCAGCUCCCACAAGUGUCCUCACUCUGAAUCGAAGCCAAGGGUGGGCACAGGCACCUAGGGUUUCAGAGGAUUCCAAACAGGAAGCCAGUUGAGGCCCAUGCCCACCUCUGGAGAGCCAGGAUGCUCUUGCCAUCCCCACCCAGAGGCAUAUCCUCAAGCCCCGUCUCCACUGUGGGAAGGCAGCUCAUUCCCAGACCCAUCUGGCCACUUCCUCUCUUGGCAUGGGCUUGGAGUGGCAACUGAGAGGAAGGGCGCAGUGGGUGGCACCUGCAGCCUGCCUCAUCCCCGGUCUUUCAUGUGCCAGUUUGCUCCCAGAGUGGAGAGGACAGGGUAGAGGGCUGGCUGCCAGAUCCCGUGGGCCCCUUUCCCUAGUUCCAGAUCAGGUUGGAGGAAGGUGGCCAGCAAUGGAGAAGAGGAGGCGGGGGGUCGUCCUUAAAGAAAUGGAGGAUGGUGGGACAUCAUGACCCUGAAACACCCCUGUCUAUUCCCAAGCCAUGUUACGCCCAGACCAGAAUGUCCAGGUAAAUGCCAUCCUGAGGGACACUGACUCUCAUACGUGGUACGUGGGCAGACUAGCGUUACAGUAAGAGCUGCCUUCCUGCACACACACCAGGCCUGCUGCUUCUUGGGAUGCUGAUCAUGCAAUGGAGCACUCUAAUGAUGUCACUGCUGCGGCCUGACUGGCAAACCCUCCUCCCUGGGUGACUGCCCUGGUGUUGGGGGCACCAUGGAGAUGACAAGUUCCUCUUGUCCAGCCAGCUACCAUUGGACAAGGUGUGGAAAGGGAUGGAGACACAGGAGGUUCACUGUGAGGGACAGGUACCGCCUGUCCAGCCUGCUGCCUUGGGCCUUCCCCAUGAGCAGCUUUCAAUAGACUGAUGUCACCAGGUGCAGUGGCACAUACCUAUAAUCCCAGUGGCUCGGGAGGCUGAGAUGGGAGAAUUGUGAGUUCAAAGCCA